Molecule: transfer RNA, 67 nt
Filed under: Marmota monax (woodchuck)
Lineage: Eukaryota; Metazoa; Chordata; Mammalia; Rodentia; Sciuridae
Description: tRNA.Ala
Source: RNAcentral
GGUUGUGGCUCAGCGAUAGAGUACUUGCCUAGCAUGUGCAAGGUCCUGGGUUCGAUCCUCAGCACCA